UCUUGAAUGGUUAGAUCUCUCUUCAAACAUGCUUGUUGGUGAGAUUCCUGGGCCAUUGACAGAUUUGACAACACUUGAAAAUUCAACGUUGCGGAAAACCAACUUGUGGGGCCCAUAGCUCAUGGCAACACAAUGUUGCGGAAAAGUUCAAUGAGAGAUUGGACUAAAGGCCUAAGGCCUAUCAAAUGCUUAAGAGUGGAGACGGAAAGUGAAAAGACAAGUAAAACCAUAAAGAAUUAAUGAGAGCGUGAAGAAGGGGGCAAAAGUCAAGAACGAUCUUGAUGGUCAAUUUCUGAAUACUCGUUCCGGCUUCUUCAAUACGCAAAUUCGAAUCAUAUUUGGACCACUUGAUUAGUACAUGUUGCAGGACACCCAACUAUGUGAAAAGACAAGCAAAACCAUGGAGAAGCAGAUGAGAAGAAUUAAUGAAAGCGUGAAGAAGGGGGCAAAAGUCACUGAUGACUACUAGUGAAGACAAGAACGAUUUUGAUGGUCAAUUAUAAACUCAGAUUUGCAAGUCAAUGAAAAUUAAGGUGCCCAUUUUAACACGCAUAAAUGCCUACAUGCAUACUAAGACGAAAGAUGACCAAAUAUCGAAGACAUGGCGCAAAAUUUUUCCAAUUAGAUGAAUAGACGUAGGCCUUCACCCUCAAUAAUGUCACCAACAAUUCAAAUUGGUGCAGCAGCUAACAAUGGACCUACACCUCUGUGACAAUGGGACAACCUUAUUGUCAAACUUUACCAACACCAAAGACAGCCACAAAUCAAAGACUUGGUGCAAAUGUUUUUCAGUUUCUCCAUAAAAUUUGUCCAAUGAAAUGAUUUAGGGAGCCCAUUGUAGAUGCUCUAAUUGUUUGUUAUAAAUUUUUUGCUUUAAUGCUAAAAUAGUUCCUUUGUUUUA
Non-coding RNA from Prunus mume (Japanese apricot), 901 nucleotides. Lineage: Eukaryota; Viridiplantae; Streptophyta; Magnoliopsida; Rosales; Rosaceae. The record is from RefSeq and is a predicted model, not a curated record.